RNAcentral lists this ribosomal RNA (519 nucleotides) under uncultured eukaryote. Its description in RNAcentral is "bacterial SSU rRNA". It matches the Rfam family "Eukaryotic small subunit ribosomal RNA", at positions 1172 to 1657 of the family's 1831-position model. The record is from RNAcentral.
AGGGCACCACCAGGAGUGGAGCCUGCGGCUUAAUUUGACUCAACACGGGAAAACUUACCCGGCCCGGACACUGGAAGGAUUGACRGAUUGAGAGCUCUUUCUUGAUUCAGUGGGKGGUGGUGCWUGGCCGUUCUUAGUUGGUGGAGCGAUUUGUCUGGUUAAUUCCGAUAACGAACGAGACUCUAGCCUACUAAAUAGACUGUUCRGUUUUAUAGCCSGAAUCACUGGGCGUGUAGCUCUCCGCAAGGGGGGUUGCAUGUUCGGCUCUGGUGACGUUGGCAGUGCUUCUUAGAGGGACAGGCGGCGGUUCAGCCGCACGAAACARAGCAAUAACAGGUCUGUGAUGCCCUURGAUGUCCRGGGCUGCACGCGCGCUACACUGAAGUGAUCAGCGUGCAAUUUACGUUUGGUGAUCUGUCAAGAUUGCCCAACCCGUUGAACCUUCUUCGUGAUUGGGAUAGGGGAUUGUAAUUAUUCCACUUGAACGAGGAAUUCCCAGUAAGCGCAAGUCAUAAGCUU